UUUAUUGGAGAGUUUGAUCCUGGCUCAGGAUGAACGCUGGCGGCGUGCCUAAUACAUGCAAGUCGAGCGAAUGGAUUAAGAGCU
This 84-nucleotide ribosomal RNA is filed under the name Bacillus sp. BF2-3. RNAcentral's name for it is "partial 16S ribosomal RNA". It matches the Rfam family "Bacterial small subunit ribosomal RNA", at positions 1 to 83 of the family's 1533-position model. Lineage: Bacteria; Bacillati; Bacillota; Bacilli; Caryophanales; Bacillaceae. The record is from RNAcentral.